Non-coding RNA from Zootermopsis nevadensis, 2634 nucleotides. NCBI's taxonomy places the organism in Eukaryota, Metazoa, Arthropoda, Insecta, Blattodea, Termopsidae. The record is from RefSeq and is a predicted model, not a curated record.
UUAAUUUCACAGUAUAUUAUAUAAUGGCAGUGAGCCGAUUAAGUGUUGUUCGUGUCUUACUGUCUUUAGUGAUCCAUGCUGCAGAGCGACAUGGAAGUUUGCCAACUAACACCAGCGAGUAACUUCACCCACUCUAGGAAAAGGUUUCAAUUUGUGGAGAUGAAACAUACCAUUUUUGAUUUCACAGAUUAUAAUUAGCCAAUGCGUUCGAAACCAGUUCAAGCUACAACAAUCACCUUCCACUGGUUGGUCAUCAUUUUGUUAGAGUGGAGUAUGAGAGCAGUCAACAGCACAUUCAGAAAACUUUAAAGACGCCUAGCUUUCUAGGAGCGGUAGGGUUGAACCAAAGCCCACCAAAUAUUUCCAUCAACGCUUUCAAAAUCUUAUGUGCAUCAUAUAUGUGUGUCCUGUAAUUUCAAAAUGCUUAGUUUUAUGCGAGGCUCGUGACCCAAAAUGUCAAGGUAACCUUCGUGCCAGAAGUUUGUCUGUGAACCCAAUUUAAAGUCAAUGAAUGGUAUGUCAGUCAGAAUACUUUUAAUUGUAAAUACUACCUGAAUUUUUUUUUCCAAAUGUCUUAAGCAUUAAACAUCGGGGAUAUAAUUUGUGAAACCCCAACAGAGGGCAUUAGAUAGAAAAUAAGAUUGGAGGUGUGCAGGACGUUCUGAGCAGACAGAACCCACAAACCUUCUUGCAGCUUUACACACUCAAACAACUCGCUAUUCCUGAUAAUUCUGAAUAUACAUGACAUACGGUUUUAAGGCUCGAUUUCUGUUGCGUUCCUUUGUCAGACACCUUACCAAAUAGAGGGUGUAGACUCUGUUUUAAAACCUUUAAUACACGCAGUUUCUACAGAUGUCUUAAUAAUAAUAAUAAUCAUCUACUACAAGGAUUGGGCCUAUUGACCCGUCCCAGGACAGAUUCUCGGGCAACUUGUCCCCAUUAGUCUUGUAGGGUGCAUUUGUGAGUAGUGAGUGACCAGCCAACUGCCUCCACACAAUUUCUAGUCAAUCCUGAUUUUUGUCUGCUACAGCCAUGUAAUAGGGAUCAGGAUACACGUGAGUGAGAAACACAGCCGCUGAGUUUUGCUGAACAACAUUAAUUCUCUCAUGCUUGCAGGUUUACCUUUCGUAAAUCUAAGACAUGGGGCGAAGGAUAUUGUGCUAUGGAUUUUUAUCACCCUCGACCGGGUUUGAACCUGCGAACUGUGGGUCCAGGUCCAGUGGCAAGGACACUAACCACUAGGCCACGGACCACUGAGGGUAGUGCCUUAAUAUCUGAGGAAGGCCAGCCACGCCGGGUGAAGAAGAAUAUGCGACAUAUGCCGGAAUCUACGGCAGUGUUUGGUGGGCGGGCGGAGUAGGUGCCAUGCAUGGGAUGCCAGGUUUGCAACAGGCACGACCGUCUUUUACCAGCACUUAUGACACCCGUGAGUCAGGCGGCAUAGUCUGUCAAAAGUACCAGCCAGUGCUGGGCCUGCAGCCGACAUACAGCAGAACGAGUACUGUCCGCCCCCUCAGGGUUAUAUCAAAACAAAUGGUGAACCGACGUUUCAACAAGCGGUGUUAGACAAAAAAAAUGUUAUGAUUGGUUUUGUUAUUUUUUUCAAGGAAAAUAAGCUACUUUUAAAUGUUUUUAAUUUAUGUUAAAACAUGUUCAAUAAAAUUGUUAUUCUUAUAAAAAUGGGAUGUUUAUUUGUAAUGAAAACCCAAAGUGACCAUUGAGCCAUCAUUGCCGCUACCAAGUGUUGCACUUCCGGUUUGACGCUUCUUGUCUGUCAACUGUUUCCUUGUGUACAUUUAUUCAGCUUUAUGAGAGACAGCCAGUUCAAAAACGUGCUUCCAAAUAUAUCUUUUUCGAUCGGCUGCCCCCUGCCACAGAUUCGGAUAUUUGUCUUUAGGAAGAAGCCACUCACAUUUUUAGAUAUGGGCCUAGAACAAUUCGUAUAAACUGCAGAAUGGGUUCAGCGUCUUGUUUCUAUGCUCCUGAAUGACUAUCAGAUAUUCUGAAAUGUUGAGAACAAUGCUCUGCUCAAACGGAAGUGUACGUACGUAGACAAUUGCAUAUGGCUGCUGGAAUUGUUGAGUGCGUUCAUCCACCACCAACCACGACUCAUCUUGUGUUUAUUGAUAAAAUAUUUUCUAGCAGUUUUGAAAGUGACAAGAAUUAUGAAUCAGCUGUCAAUGAAAUAACUGUAAUAACCCCCAGAAGGGCAAGGCAUUGUUCAUUUUACUUACAAAUUGGCAUUUCCCAUGAGGUUUGGUAUUUAGCUGAUUCAACUGCCUGGAAAUUUGCGUCACGAAUUUGAACGUUCAAUGCCACUGACUGGUUGUCCUUUUUCGAUAAGGAAAACUUUGGUCUCUUCUAAUAAUGAUGAAACAAAGCUCGCGCAACUUCGUCUUUGAAUUUAGUCAAGGAACACCUUUAAAUGUCUUUGGUUUAGGUCACGUGGCGUUAAAAGAAUCAGGUACACUGACUACAGCAGUCAUAAUUCUUUUAAAUACCAUGUCUUUGCAAUGCUCCUGCAUUAAUUCAUGCUGGACUCUUGCAUACACCACCGAAGAAAUGUCACCAUGAAGAUGGUUGUCUUCUGGUAGAAGUUUUCGGCGAACGUCUACCAGUAAAAACCCAUGAGAC